Molecule: transfer RNA, 75 nt
Filed under: Fibrobacter sp.
Lineage: Bacteria; Pseudomonadati; Fibrobacterota; Fibrobacteria; Fibrobacterales; Fibrobacteraceae
Description: tRNA-Gln
Rfam family: tRNA
About the family: Transfer RNA (tRNA) molecules are approximately 80 nucleotides in length. Their secondary structure includes four short double-helical elements and three loops (D, anti-codon, and T loops).
Source: RNAcentral
UGGGGCGUCGACAAGUGGUAAGUCACGAGGUUUUGGUCCUCGCACUCGAGGGUUCGAAUCCUUCCGCCCCAGCCA